UACUAAGACGGAGAUGGGAACCUCAAG
RNAcentral lists this non-coding RNA (27 nucleotides) under Rattus norvegicus (Norway rat). Lineage: Eukaryota; Metazoa; Chordata; Mammalia; Rodentia; Muridae. The record is from RNAcentral.